Molecule: non-coding RNA, 1598 nt
Organism: Crotalus tigris (Tiger rattlesnake)
Lineage: Eukaryota; Metazoa; Chordata; Lepidosauria; Squamata; Viperidae
Source: the annotation of a RefSeq genome assembly
GAUGGUAUGAGUGAAAAAAACUGUCUCUGUGUCUUGUUGUUUUGGCAUGCAAUGCCCUAUGUCCUCUGGGGAGGAGUUGAAACAGUUUCUGUCCAGGCUGUGAGGGAUCUAUAGAUUUUUUCUCAACCCUCUUUCUGACUUUUGCAGGAUAGAGUCCCUCAGUAGAAGGCAGGCUGGUUGCAAUUGUUGUUUUCUGAGGUCCUAAACUUUCCUUUCAAGUCUGAACUUGUCCUGUUUGGUAGCUGUAGCAAACCAGACAGUUAUAGAAGUACAGAUUCAAUAAUUCCUCUAUAGAACUAUAUCAGCAGUUUCUUGGGCAGUCUCAACUUCCUGAGUUGAUGCAGGAAGAACAUUCUUUGUUGUGCCUUUUUAAUAAUGAUUCUAAUGUUAGGUGCCCAUUUCAAAUCCUGGGAGGUUAUAGAGCCAGAAAUAUGAAGCUUGUGGCUCUUUUCCCCUCCUCUUGACUUCUCUGACUCUCUGAGACUUCUCGGAGAUUAGAAAUCUCAAGAAAUGUUUGAGUGGUGACUCCAUUGCUUGAUGUACAAAUAAUAAUCCUAAUAUCUGAUGCCAAAAGGAUGGAGAGAAAAAAACAUCCAGCCAGAAAUAUGACAUCCAGGUAUUGUGGGAACAAGAGAAGGAGAUGUGGGUCUUCCAGCUUUCAUUUCCCACAGUUCUCUCCAGUGAGUAAGGUAGGAUAAUAAUGUCCUGAAUUUGAGCUCAAACUGUGGUGCCAAAGGAUAAACAGGCUCCAGUGUUCUUGGCAAAGUUAGGAAAGUGGUUUCCUUUCUUUGCAGAAUAUUUCUUUUACUUCCCAGUUUGGUAUAGUUUGUUUGCUCAAGAGAGAGUGCAUUAAGAAAAAAGUUUCUGUGUACUGGGUUUGUGGUAUGUUGCUUCUUUGAUCUACGUAAGUGAAAGCAGAGCUGAGCAGAUCUUCGAUCCCCAGAAGGUCUGAGCAUGAAGCAACUCAGGAGACUGUGGCUGGGCUGUCACUUUCCUGUGUUUCUGGUGACAGAGUUGUCCUGCCUCUUGAAGAGAAAGGGAGAAGAAUGGGAGAUCUGAGGAACACGAUCAUUGCUUUGCUGCUGGCCAUCUCCACAGCUGUAUCAGGUCAAGUCACCCAGGAGCACCAAUUUCUUUCAGUCAAGGAAGGAGACUCCAUCCGGCUGAAAUGCUCCUAUUCAGAAACAGCUUCUAGUCUUCAGUGGUACAAGCAAUGUCCAGGAGGCCAGCCAAAAUUCCUGAUGGCCUUGUAUUCAUCAACGACUGAAGCAAAGGAUAAUUUGGAGAUGACUCUGAACACAAAAAACAAGACCACAUCUUUGUAUCUGAAGAACACCCAGUUUAACGAUUCAGCUGUCUACUUCUGUGCAUGGAGCCACAGUGCUAGAAAGACACCUGCUGGUUGUCACCAAAGGUGGAGGGCAACCAAGAGGAAGAAAUUGAGCUGCCUACUGGAGGCCUUCUGCAGAAAGAUCAGGAGAACAUCUUGAGACACAGCAUCGUAGCUAAAAAAAUCUAUUUGUCCCAAAAGUCUUUUCCCCAAAGGCAACUAGACUUCCUUCAUUUUUUUCCUUGAACACAUUUUGAUUUUCAUCCAA